UCUCUGGAAGCUGGGGGCAUAGGUAGACAUCUAUAGUGCCUAUGACUGAACCCAGCCAGUGACUCACCGAAUAAGCACAUCAGAAUCUGGCCCCAAAGGAGCUAAGGGCAGGUGGUGGAUGAGACGACUGACCUGCUGGUUAGAGUGGAGCUGACUAGUGGUUGUCUCUGGGGCCACUGUACACCUGUUUUCACAAAAGACAUCUGCUUCUUCUGCAGUCCAACAGGAAUCUUUUUUGAGAUUGAAGAAUAUGAAUGUGUUCAGCUGGUACUGAGAUGUUUGAGUGUGAAGAGAGCCAGGUGUCUUCAGCUGUUAUCAAUAUUCUGUGUGUGUGUGCGCGCACGCUAUAACUGUGACAACUCGGCGUUUGGGGAAUGCAUGCUCUGCCAAAUUUGACAAUACUGUUUGGGAACUGACACAGGAGUAAAUAUUGUAAAAUACUGCAGCAUACAUGCAUAUAUGCAGGAUAUCGUUUUCCUUACUGAUCUGAGUAUGCAGAGACCCAACCCUAGUCCCAUUAGACUGGUCAUGCCCAGCUCAUGGCUCUUUGGGGUCCCACGAGUGGCUGCUCUUUCGAAUCCAUCAGUAU
Long non-coding RNA from Mauremys reevesii (Reeves's turtle), 589 nucleotides. RefSeq lists it as uncharacterized. The record is from RefSeq and is a predicted model, not a curated record. The transcript is spliced from 3 exons. NCBI's taxonomy places the organism in Eukaryota, Metazoa, Chordata, Testudines, Geoemydidae.